GACGUAGGGCGCAAGCGUUGUCCGGAAUUAUUGGGCGUAAAGAGCUCGUAGGCGGCUUGUCACGUCGGGUGUGAAAGCCCGGGGCUUAACCCCGGGUCUGCAUUCGAUACGGGCUAGCUAGAGUGUGGUAGGGGGAGAUCGGAAUUCCUGGUGUAGCGGUGAAAUGCGCAGAUAUCAGGAGGAACACCGGUGGCGAAGGCGGAUCUCUGGGCCAUUACUGACGCUGAGGAGCGAAAGCGUGGGGAGCGAACAGG
RNAcentral lists this ribosomal RNA (254 nucleotides) under uncultured bacterium. Its description in RNAcentral is "partial 16S ribosomal RNA". It matches the Rfam family "Bacterial small subunit ribosomal RNA", at positions 524 to 776 of the family's 1533-position model. The record is from RNAcentral.